AACGCGAAGAACCUUACCAGGGCUUGACAUCUGGCGAACGCCUUUGAAAGAAGGAAGUGCCCGCAAGGGAGCGCCAAGACAGGUGGUGCAUGGCUGUCGUCAGCUCGUGCCGUGAGGUGUUGGGUUAAGUCCCGCAACGAGCGCAACCCUUGUCGUUAGUUGUCAUCAGGUCAAGCUGGACCCUUUAACGAGACUGCCGGGGACGACCCGGAGGAAGGUGAGGACGACGUCAAGUCAUCAUGCCCCUUAUGCCCUGGGCUACACACGUACUACAAUGGUCGGGACAGAGCGCCGCAAGACAGCAAUGUGGAGCGAAUCGCACAAACCCGGCCUCAGUUCAGAUUGCAGGCUGCAACUCGCCUGCAUGAAGGAGGAAUCGCUAGUAAACGCCGAUCAGCAUGCGGCGUUGAAUACGUUCCCGGGCCUUGUACACACCGAGACGAC
This 444-nucleotide ribosomal RNA is filed under the name uncultured bacterium. RNAcentral describes it as "bacterial SSU rRNA". It matches the Rfam family "Bacterial small subunit ribosomal RNA", at positions 958 to 1398 of the family's 1533-position model. The record is from RNAcentral.